CGGAUCGGAGUCUGCAACCCGACUCCGUGAAGCUGGAUUCGCUAGUAAUCGCGCAUCAGCCAUGGCGCGGUGAAUACGUUCCCGGGCCUUGUACACACCGCCCGUCAAGCCAUGGGAGCCGGGAGCGCUUGAAGUGCGUCGCCGCGAGGCGCGCCCUAGAGCGAGACCGGUGACUGGGGCUAAGUCGUAACAAGGUAGC
Molecule: ribosomal RNA, 199 nt
Filed under: uncultured bacterium
Lineage: Bacteria
Description: partial 16S ribosomal RNA
Rfam family: Bacterial small subunit ribosomal RNA
Source: RNAcentral